GGUGGCUCAUUGGUAGAGUCCUUGCCUUGCAUGCAUGAGGUCCUAGGUUUGAUUCCUUAGCACCA
This 65-nucleotide transfer RNA is filed under the name Dipodomys ordii (Ord's kangaroo rat). It matches the Rfam family "tRNA". Rfam says of the family: Transfer RNA (tRNA) molecules are approximately 80 nucleotides in length. Their secondary structure includes four short double-helical elements and three loops (D, anti-codon, and T loops). Further hydrogen bonds mediate the characteristic L-shaped molecular structure. tRNAs have two regions of fundamental functional importance: the anti-codon, which is responsible for specific mRNA codon recognition, and the 3' end, to which the tRNAs corresponding amino acid is attached (by aminoacyl-tRNA synthetases). tRNAs cope with the degeneracy of the genetic code in two manners: having more than one tRNA (with a specific anti-codon) for a particular amino acid; and 'wobble' base-pairing, i.e. permitting non-standard base-pairing at the 3rd anti-codon position. The record is from Rfam by way of RNAcentral. Lineage: Eukaryota; Metazoa; Chordata; Mammalia; Rodentia; Heteromyidae.